AUAUUUUAGAAUUUUAAAUUUAUUUCCAGUUAGAAAACUAUUCGCUGGACUCCGUGUUGCUGGCCACCAUCGUAAACAUAACUGGUUGCCAGCGAACGGCGUAAAACGCCGGCCAUCUUCUUCUUCAACGUAUUCUCCCUUCAUCUUUUGAGGUAAGCUUGUGAUUAUGAGUUUCUUCUCUUACUUAGCUUGUAAUUAUAGAUUUUGAUUUUUUUUAAUUCGUAUUGUAGCCGUUAUUGUCAAUUUUUGUCCCGCCAGCAAUAUUUUUUUAUUCCUACAAGUUGAA
RNAcentral lists this long non-coding RNA (286 nucleotides) under Citrus maxima (pomelo). RNAcentral describes it as "long non-coding RNA (CMAX_LNC001316)". Lineage: Eukaryota; Viridiplantae; Streptophyta; Magnoliopsida; Sapindales; Rutaceae. The record is from RNAcentral.